GAGAUACUCCCUCCGUUCCGAAUUACUUGUCUUAGAUUUGUUUAAAUACGGAGGUAUCUAGUACUAAAAUGAGUCUAGAUACAUCCGUAUCUAGACAAAUAUGAGGUCGGAACGGAGGGAGUAACUA
This is a non-coding RNA of Triticum aestivum (bread wheat), 127 nucleotides long. The record is from Rfam. Lineage: Eukaryota; Viridiplantae; Streptophyta; Magnoliopsida; Poales; Poaceae.